CACACAGUGUGAUUAGAAGUUGACGUAUGUAGAUAUGAAAUGUCUAUAUGUAUAGAAUUUCAUGAGCUAUGUUGCAUUGUGUAGCAUAAAGAAUCACACAGUGUGAUUAGAAGUUGAUGUAUAUAUAGAUAUGAAAUAUGUAUAUAUCUAUAAAAGUUUAAUGUUUAUCUGAUUAAGAUACAUGUACAUGUAUGUAUGAAGUUUUGAUUGUUUUCUUCUAUUUACAGAAUCAAUGAAAACAGUUUGAGAAAUUAUUCAACGAUUCAAGAUUUGCAAAAGAUUUGUCUGCAUUACCAUCUAUUGCGGAAGCGUCCGGUUCAAUAUGUCCUAUUUGACGUUCCGAUUGUCGACUUGAAAUUGAUAUUGGUCCAGUUUAGUGGUUAAAGAUCUAUCUUCAAUUAGCAAUAUCUCAAAAGACUUUUAAUAUCGGCAUCUUAUUCUGAACUGUUUCAUUUCCUUUGUUUCGAUGUUACUGCGAGCAAC
This 483-nucleotide long non-coding RNA is filed under the name Mytilus galloprovincialis (Mediterranean mussel). The record is from RNAcentral. Lineage: Eukaryota; Metazoa; Mollusca; Bivalvia; Mytilida; Mytilidae.